GACGAACGCUGGCGGCGUGCCUAAUACAUGCAAGUCGAACGCAUUUUCUUUCACCGUAGCUUGCUACACCGAAAGAAAAUGAGUGGCGAACGGGUGAGUAACACGUGGGUAACCUGCCCAUCAGCGGGGGAUAACACUUGGAAACAGGUGCUAAUACCGCAUAAUUCCAUUUACUGCAUGGUAGAUGGAUGAAAGGCGCUUUUGCGUCACUGAUGGAUGGACCCGCGGUGCAUUAGCUAGUUGGUGGGGUAACGGCCUACCAAGGCUGCGAUGCAUAGCCGACCUGAGAGGGUGAUCGGCCACACUGGGACUGAGACACGGCCCAGACUCCUACGGGAGGCAGCAGUAGGGAAUCUUCGGCAAUGGACGCAAGUCUGACCGAGCAACGCCGCGUGAGUGAAGAAGGUUUUCGGAUCGUAAAACUCUGUUGUUAGAAAAGAACAAGGGUGAGAGUGGAAAGUUCAUCCCUUGACGGUAUCUAACCAGAAAGCCACGGCUAACUACGUG
Molecule: ribosomal RNA, 507 nt
Filed under: uncultured bacterium
Lineage: Bacteria
Description: partial 16S ribosomal RNA
Rfam family: Bacterial small subunit ribosomal RNA
Source: RNAcentral